UAGAGAUCUAUGUAAAGUCCACCACCUGGGUUCAAACAAGCAACUUCACAAAUAUAAGAUGGAGGAGAAAUGGCCAAACUGACACCUCAUGUGAAGAAAGAUCUGGGACAGUUAACAGACUGCAAGAUCAAUGAGGAAGAGAAAAUAAAGUCUGAAAACUGCAGACCAGUGAGCUUGACAACUCAUGGGAAACUUUUAGAAUGUAUCAUCGAAGAGAUGGUUGGUGAAUAUUUAUUAAGCAUGAAGGUUGGACUGUUUGGAAACCAUGAUCACCGGGCAUGAACAUUAUGAGCCAUCUUGAAGACAUCAUGCACCAUCAUAAACAUUCUACAGAAGUAAACCUUACAUUGCCUCUCAUUGCAAUAGUAAGGCUACUUUCUGAUUUGACUUUAUAUUACUAUUUGUUUAUCUGGUAGUUUUAAAAAUAAACUGGUUGGCGACACUGGUCAUUCAGUGAAGGUUCUAUGAGAGUAUAGUCAGUGUACCAGUGGCAGAAGAGAAGAAAAUUGUAUUUGAAGAGAUUCUUUUCUUGCAAAGAUGAUUUCACAUGUAAACAUUGUUGAAAACAAAGCAAAAUAUACAAUUGAACUUAAAGUACAUUUAUCAUUUAAUAUAACACUUGUCAUUACUCAGUAGAAAAGUAAAUAUUUUAUAUCCUAAGAGGCUAGUCACUUAAAUUGAUUGGUUAGAUGGCUAAAAGUUAAAAGAAAAUGAAUUUCCAUUUCUUAGUAAAAGAGUUUAUAAAAUUCUCCAAACAUUUUUUUUUACUACGUUUGUGUGAAGGAACAUUUUUUUCUUCAUUGUUGUUUUAAAUCAAAAUAUAGAAAUAAAUUCUCUGCAGAACCAGAGAACCAGGUUUAAGACUAUAUUUGUCUGCCAUUGAAGCAAACAUUGCAAAUCUUUGUUAAAAUAAAAGUCUAACACUGAAAUUGCAUUGA
This is a long non-coding RNA of Vombatus ursinus (common wombat), 938 nucleotides long. RefSeq lists it as uncharacterized. NCBI's taxonomy places the organism in Eukaryota, Metazoa, Chordata, Mammalia, Diprotodontia, Vombatidae. The record is from RefSeq and is a predicted model, not a curated record. The transcript has 3 exons.